AGCAGCCGCGGUAAUUCCAGCUCCAAUAGCGUAUAUUAAAGUUGUUGCAGUUAAAAAGCUCGUAGUUGAAUUUCGGGAUCAAUUAAUUGGUCGUGCCUCUGGUACGUACUGGUUUUAUUGGUUUCUCCCUUCUGACGAACCAUGAUGUCAUUAAUUUGGUGUCGUGGAGAAUCAGGACUGUUACUUUGAAAAAAUUAGAGUGUUUAAAGCAAGCUAACGCUUGAAUACAUUAGCAUGGAAUAAUGAAAUAGGACGUUUGAUCCUAUUUUGUUGGUUUCUAGGAUCGACGUAAUGAUUAAUAGGGAUAGUUGGGGGCAUUAGUAUUCAAUUGUCAGAGGUGAAAUUCUUGGAUUUAUUGAAGACUAACUACUGCGAAAGCAUUUGCCAAGGAUGUUUUCAUUAAUCAAGAACGAAAGUUAGGGGAUCGAAGACGAUCAGAUACCGUCGUAGUCUUAACCAUAAACUAUGCCGACUAGGGAUCGGAUGAUGUUAAUUUUUAAUGACUCAUUCGGCGCCU
Molecule: unclassified non-coding RNA, 517 nt
Filed under: uncultured Glomus
Lineage: Eukaryota; Fungi; Glomeromycota; Glomeromycetes; Glomerales; Glomeraceae
Description: SSU rRNA
Rfam family: Eukaryotic small subunit ribosomal RNA
Source: RNAcentral